CCCUUAUUCAGAGUGAUGGAGAUACAUAGGAUCUGUGAAGUCACGGCAACCCCGUUUUGGAAGGUGCCAGCCUGAGCGAGAUAUGCCAUUGCCCCGUAUGCUGCAUGAUGCGGUGCAAAUGGCUCGAACAAUAAGAG
RNAcentral lists this non-coding RNA (137 nucleotides) under Firmicutes bacterium CAG:882. Its description in RNAcentral is "SAM riboswitch aptamer (S box leader)". It matches the Rfam family "SAM riboswitch aptamer (S box leader)". From Rfam's summary of the family: The SAM riboswitch is found upstream of a number of genes which code for proteins involved in methionine or cysteine biosynthesis in Gram-positive bacteria. The SAM riboswitch acts at the level of transcription termination control. The predicted structure consists of a complex stem-loop region followed by a single stem loop terminator region. The record is from Rfam by way of RNAcentral. RNAcentral also lists the same sequence under 1 other name. Lineage: Bacteria; Bacillati; Bacillota.